AUACGUAGGUGGCAAGCGUUGUCCGGAUUUAUUGGGCGUAAAGCGAGCGCAGGCGGUUCCUUAAGUCUGAUGUGAAAGCCCACGGCAUAACCGUGGAAGGUCAUUGGAAACUGGGGAACUUGAGUGCAGAAGAGGAGAGUGGAAUUCCAUGUGUAGCGGUGAAAUGCGUAGAUAUAUGGAGGAACACCAGUGGCGAAGGCGACUUUCUGGUCUGUAACUGACGCUGAGGCUCGAAAGCGUGGGGAGC
RNAcentral lists this ribosomal RNA (247 nucleotides) under uncultured bacterium. RNAcentral's name for it is "partial 16S ribosomal RNA". It matches the Rfam family "Bacterial small subunit ribosomal RNA", at positions 523 to 769 of the family's 1533-position model. The record is from RNAcentral.